Molecule: ribosomal RNA, 577 nt
Filed under: Cellulomonas sp. CPCC203932
Lineage: Bacteria; Bacillati; Actinomycetota; Actinomycetes; Micrococcales; Cellulomonadaceae
Description: bacterial SSU rRNA
Rfam family: Bacterial small subunit ribosomal RNA
Source: RNAcentral
GUGGCGAACGGGUGAGUAACACGUGAGUAACCUGCCCCCGACUCUGGGAUAACCCCGGGAAAUCGGAGCUAAUACCGGAUACGAGACGCACAGGCAUCUGUGGGUCUGGAAAGAAAUUCGGUCGGGGAUGGACUCGCGGCCUAUCAGCUAGUUGGUGGGGUAAUGGCCUACCAAGGCGACGACGGGUAGCCGGCCUGAGAGGGCGACCGGCCACACUGGGACUGAGACACGGCCCAGACUCCUACGGGAGGCAGCAGUGGGGAAUAUUGCACAAUGGGCGAAAGCCUGAUGCAGCGACGCCGCGUGGGGGAUGAAGGCCUUCGGGUUGUAAACCCCUUUCAGCAGGGAAGAAGCGAAAGUGACGGUACCUGCAGAAGAAGCGCCGGCUAACUACGUGCCAGCAGCCGCGGUAAUACGUAGGGCGCAAGCGUUGUCCGGAAUUAUUGGGCGUAAAGAGCUCGUAGGUGGUUUGUCGCGUCUGCUGUGAAAACCCGAGGCUCAACCUCGGGCCUGCAGUGGGUACGGGCAGACUAGAGUGCGGUAGGGGAGACUGGAAUUCCUGGUGUAGCGGUGGAAU